Molecule: ribosomal RNA, 1509 nt
Filed under: uncultured prokaryote
Description: partial 16S ribosomal RNA
Rfam family: Bacterial small subunit ribosomal RNA
Source: RNAcentral
ACUGAAGAGUUUGAUCAUGGCUCAGAUUGAACGCUGGCGGCAGGCGUAACACAUGCAAGUCGAGCGAGAAAGCACUUCGGUGUGAGUAGAGCGGCGGACGGGUGAGUAACGCCGCGUAGGAAUGUGCCCAGUAGUGGGGUACAACAUGUGGAAACGCAUGCUAAUACCGCAUACGCCCUAAGGGGGAAAGCAGGGGAUCUUCGGACCUUGCGCUAUUGGAGAAGCCUGCGUCGGAUUAGCUAGUUGGUGGGGUAAAGGCCCACCAAGGCGACGAUCCGUAGCUGGUCUGAGAGGAUGAUCAGCCACACUGGGACUGAGACACGGCCCAGACUCCUACGGGAGGCAGCAGUGGGGAAUAUUGGACAAUGGGCGCAAGCCUGAUCCAGCCAUGCCGCGUGUGUGAAGAAGGCCUUAGGGUUGUAAAGCACUUUAAGCAGGGAGGAAAGGUUGCUGGUUAAUAACCAGUAGCUGUGACGUUACUCGCAGAAUAAGCACCGGCUAAUUCAGUGCCAGCAGCCGCGGUAAUACUGAAGGUGCAAGCGUUAAUCGGAAUUACUGGGCGUAAAGCGCACGUAGGCGGUUCGUUAAGUUGGAUGUGAAAGCCCAGGGCUCAACCUUGGAACUGCAUCCGAUACUGGCGAGCUAGAAUAUAGGAGAGGGAGGUAGAAUUUCAGGUGUAGCGGUGAAAUGCGUAGAGAUCUGAAGGAAUACCAGUGGCGAAGGCGGCCUCCUGGCCUAAUAUUGACGCUGAGGUGUGAAAGCGUGGGGGACAAACAGGAUUAGAUACCCUGGUAGUCCACGCCGUAAACGAUGUCAACUAGCCGUUGGGAGUCUUAGUAUUCUUAGUGGCGAAGCUAACGCGAUAAGUUGACCGCCUGGGGAGUACGGUCGCAAGAUUAAAACUCAAAUGAUUUGACGGGGGCCCGCACAAACGGUGGGAGCAUUGGUUUAAUUCGAAGCAACGCGAAGAACCUUACCAGGUCUUGACAUUCAGAGAACUUACUAGAGAUAGUUUGGUGCCUUCGGGAACUCUGGGACAGGUGCUGCAUGGCUGUCGUCAGCUCGUGUCGUGAGAUGUUGGGUUAAGUCCCGUAACGAGCGCAACCCUUAUCCUUAUUUGCCAGCACGUAAUGGUGGGAACUCUAAGGAGACUGCCGGUGACAAACCGGAGGAAGGUGGGGACGACGUCAACUCAUCAUGGCCCUUACGACCUGGGCUACACACGUGCUACAAUGGCCGGUACAGAGGGCUGCAAUACCGCGAGGUGGAGCGAAUCUCAGAAAACCGAUCGUAGUCCGGAUUGGAGUCUGCAACUCGACUCCAUGAAGUCGGAAUCGCUAGUAAUCGCGAAUCAGAAUGUCGCGGUGAAUACGUUCCCGGGCCUUGUACACACCGCCCGUCACACCAUGGGAGUGGAUUGCACCAGAAGUAGGUAGCUUAACCCUCGGGAGAGCGCUUACCACGGUGUGGUUCAUGACUGGGGUGAAGUCGUAACAAGGUAACCAAGGG